UCUGUGACGCCGAACUUCGGACUAAACUCGCGCGAGUGACCGUGCCAGUGAAAGGAUUUUGUGCUCUCCUGCUGGUGAACCGCCUGGUUGUCCGCCCCUGUGGUGUCUCUUGCAAAGUUUUGGCCGGGUAGCGUAGUCCAAACAAACAGCCAACAUGGACGCGAUCAAGAAGAAAAUGCAGGCGAUGAAGAUGGAGAAGGACUCCGCGAUGGACAAGGCGGACACCUGCGAGGGUCAGGCCAAGGAUGCCAACAUGCGUGCGGAUAAGGUCCUUGAGGAUGUGCGGGAACUCCAGAAGAAACUGACCCAGGUCGAGGGUGACCUGGAGACAAACAAGAAGAACCUGGAGCAAGCCAACAAGGACCUUGAGGAGAAGGAAAAGCUGCUCACUCAGGCUGAAGCGGAAGUAGCCGCCCUCAACAGGAAGGUCCAGAUGAUUGAGGAGGAUCUGGAAAGGUCUGAGGAAAGAUCCGGCCAAGCCCAAACCAAGCUGGCUGAAGCCUCCCAAGCCGCCGACGAGGCCAAGCGAAUGUGCAAAGUACUGGAGAACCGUAGCCAACAGGAUGAGGAGAGGAUGGACCAACUGACCAACCAACUGAAGGAGGCUAGGAUGUUGGCUGAGGACGCUGAUGGAAAGUCUGAUGAGGUCUCCAGGAAGCUGGCCUUCGUUGAAGACGAGCUGGAAGUAGCUGAGGACCGAGUAAAGUCUGGAGACUCAAAGAUCAUGGAGCUGGAAGAAGAGUUGAAGGUUGUCGGAAACAGCUUGAAGUCUCUGGAAGUCUCAGAAGAAAAGGCUAACCAGCGAGUUGAAGAAUACAAGCAACAGAUCAAGCAGCUCACUGUCAAGCUCAAAGAAGCCGAGGCUCGUGCUGAGUUUGCUGAGAAGACCGUCAAGAAACUGCAGAAGGAGGUCGACAGGCUGGAAGAUGAAUUGCACAACGAAAAGGACAAAUACAAGACAGUGAUGGCGGACGUGGAUGCCACCCUGACGGAGAUUGUCGGAGCCUAGAGCCCCGGCUGCCUUAUAACUAAUUGUGUGUUCUAAUAUUUGUAAUGCCUACUUAACCAUCGCGUCACUGGAGAUAAGACGAGCUCGGUCUCAACAAAGACAGGUACAAGUCGUUGGCUGACGAGAUGGAUUCCACCUUCGCGGAACUGGCCGGCUACUAGACCUUGGACCCUCCCUCCACAUCUGUCUCGCGUCUUAAUAAGGCUCCAUUAGGCGACAUCAUCCCUAUCGACUCAUUUGUCGCCUGCUGCGCCA
This 1264-nucleotide unclassified non-coding RNA is filed under the name Homalodisca vitripennis (glassy-winged sharpshooter). RNAcentral describes it as "tropomyosin-1, transcript variant X2". Lineage: Eukaryota; Metazoa; Arthropoda; Insecta; Hemiptera; Cicadellidae. The record is from RNAcentral.